Capsicum annuum is the source of this 945-nucleotide long non-coding RNA. RefSeq lists it as uncharacterized. The transcript has 2 exons. Lineage: Eukaryota; Viridiplantae; Streptophyta; Magnoliopsida; Solanales; Solanaceae. The record is from RefSeq and is a predicted model, not a curated record.
UGGAACUUUCUAGGAAGGGGAGGAUAUUAUUUUGUUUUCAUUUUAGGGAGGGACCCCAUUGUUCAUCUCCUUUCUUCUCCAUUAGCACACACCUAUGAGACACCAUUAUUUUUCGCUUUUCUUUUCUUCUUUUUGUAACACACGACACACACACAAAAGAGAGUUCGAGAGUGAGAAAUUGUGAGGGAUAACAGACCGGAGUUGAUUUUCGUUCGUCAUCCGCCCGGCCCAGUUCAAGGAGUCUCGAAAUUCCUUCAUUUUUCUUUGAUUUCUAGGUAGAAUCCAUUGAAAAACACUGAGAUUCUAUGGAAAGCUUGAACCAGCCGUGGAGUUUUUACUGAGAUCAACACUAUUUUAACCAAUUUUUUUCUUUUGCAAUAGUUUCACGUAUAGUGGUGUUCCGUCACUUUGCUUGAUUUGGGUUCAUCAUGCUUCUUUACUGGUUUGAAAUUCGGAGUCUUCUAGUAUCGAUCUGUUCAUCACAUGUAGUUUUAGGGUUCGAUCUCUCGAUUACCGAGUUGGAUUCAUCACGGUUGAGGUUAUUCCAGAGGAAAUUCGAAGUCUGGGUUUUCUUACUAUCAACAAAGAUCAGAUUGUCAAAGGUGCUAUGAUGUCUCAUAUCAUAAGUACAAACGCUCAGGUUCGCGACCGCACUUAGAUAUUCUAGUGCAUCAGCAGUAGCAGCAAUGGCGAGUCCUCAUAUUUUAAGGACCGAUUAUGUUUAUUUUAGUGUUUUCAGUUUAGUAGUCAGUUUGAGUUAGUUGGGGCCUAUCUCAUCAACACUUAUUCAGUCAGUUUUAGAGGCUUUCGGACACUUAAGACAGUCAGUCAAUUUGUCAUUACUUUUAUCAAUUUUCAGUUAAUUAUUUUGCGGUAGUUGUUUUCAAGCUUGUGAUUCAAAAAUAUUUUAGUCUUUUAAACCUUAUGGCAUAUUCAGUUAUUCCA